AGCAGCGUGGCUCAGCGAAAAGAGCGCGGGCUUGGGAGUCAGAGGUCAUGGGUUCGAAUCCCAGCUCUGCCA
RNAcentral lists this transfer RNA (72 nucleotides) under Ornithorhynchus anatinus (platypus). It matches the Rfam family "tRNA". From Rfam's summary of the family: Transfer RNA (tRNA) molecules are approximately 80 nucleotides in length. Lineage: Eukaryota; Metazoa; Chordata; Mammalia; Monotremata; Ornithorhynchidae. The record is from Rfam by way of RNAcentral.